AACGAACGCUGGCGGCGUGCCUAACACAUGCAAGUCGAACGUGAUUAGAGAGCUUGCUCUCUAUGAAAGUGGCGCACGGGUGAGUAACGCGUAGAUAAUCUACCUGAUGAUCCGGGAUAACAGUUCGAAAGGACUGCUAAUACCUGAUAAGCUCACGGAGUCCUCGGACUCUGCGGGAAAAGGGGGGGACCAAUUGGCCUUCCGUCAUCAGAUGAGUCUGCGUACCAUUAGCUAGUUGGUAGGGUAAAGGCCUACCAAGGCGACGAUGGUUAGCUGGUCUGAGAGGAUGAUCAGCCACACUGGAACUGAGACACGGUCCAGACUCCUACGGGAGGCAGCAGUGGGGAAUUUUGCGCAAUGGGGGAAACCCUGACGCAGCAACGCCGCGUGAGUGAUGAAGGCCCUUGGGUCGUAAAGCUCUGACAGAG
This 428-nucleotide ribosomal RNA is filed under the name uncultured bacterium. RNAcentral describes it as "bacterial SSU rRNA". It matches the Rfam family "Bacterial small subunit ribosomal RNA", at positions 29 to 441 of the family's 1533-position model. The record is from RNAcentral.